This 331-nucleotide unclassified non-coding RNA is filed under the name soil metagenome. RNAcentral's name for it is "partial contains 5.8S ribosomal RNA, internal transcribed spacer 2, and large subunit ribosomal RNA". The stretch from base 1 to 120 matches the Rfam family "5.8S ribosomal RNA", at positions 35 to 154 of the family's 154-position model. The record is from RNAcentral.
GAUGAAGAACGUAGUGAAAUGCGAUAAGUAAUGUGAAUUGCAGAAUUCAGUGAAUCAUCGAAUCUUUGAACGCACAUUGCGCCCCCUGGUAUUCCGGGGGGCAUGCCUGUUCGAGCGUCAUUUCACCACUCAAGCCUCGCUUGGUAUUGGGCAACGCGGUCCGCCGCGUGCCUCAAAUCGACCGGCUGGGUCUUCUGUCCCCUAAGCGUUGUGGAAACUAUUCGCUAAAGGGUGCUCGGGAGGCUACGCCGUAAAACAAACCCAUUUCUAAGGUUGACCUCGGAUCAGGUAGGGAUACCCGCUGAACUUAAGCAUAUCAAUAAGCCGAGGA